RNAcentral lists this ribosomal RNA (492 nucleotides) under uncultured bacterium. Its description in RNAcentral is "partial 16S ribosomal RNA". It matches the Rfam family "Bacterial small subunit ribosomal RNA", at positions 29 to 507 of the family's 1533-position model. The record is from RNAcentral.
AGCGAACGCUGGCGGCAGGCCUAACACAUGCAAGUCGAACGGCAGCACAGUAAGAGUUUGGUCUUACGGGUGGCGAGUGGGGGAAGGGAGAGGUAAAUAUCGGAAUCUACUUUUUCGUGGGGGAUAAGGUAGGGAAACUUACGAUAAUACCGGAUACGACGUAAGGGUGAAAGGAGGGGAUAUUUGGACCGUGCGCGGAUGAAUGAGCCGCUGUCGGAUUAGCUAGUUGGGGGGGUACAGGCCAACCAAGGGGACGAUCCGUAGCUGGUCUGUGAGGAUGAUCACCCGCACUCGAACUGAACCACGGUCCAUACUCCUAAGCGACGCCGCAGUCGGGAACAUUGGACAAUGGGCGCAAGCCUGGUCCAGCCCUACCGCGUGGGUCAAAAAGGCCUUCGGGUCGUAAUGCCCAUUUUUCGUUAGAGAAAAGCAGCAGGUUAAUACCCCGCUGUUCUGACGGUACCCAAAGAAUAAGCACCGGCUAACUUCGUG